AUUUGUGCUCAGGGGACAGAGUAGGGGACUGGAAGAGUCAUGAAGCCUUGAUGAGGGACAGACAUCUUCGUUGACACUUGAGGGAAGAGUUGAAGAGUUACUCAAGUGAAAUGAUGGGUCCAAGGCUUCAGGAAAAGAAAUAAGAAACGUGGUUAUGAAUGGACCUUAUGUACACUUUACUCAUCAAGCCAGAAAAUGGGAUCUUCAGAAAGUCUCCAGGUGGAUAGAAGGAAGAGUAGCCUGCAUGGGGCUCAAUCUCACGACCCUGAGGUCAUGACCUGAUCUGAAAUUAAAUCAAGAGGCUGGCUCCGGCUCUUAGCCAACUGAGCCACCCAGCCACCCUUGUGAGCAGUGCCUUUUACUAUAGGCACCAUGUUGCACUGUAGAUCCCUAGGACUCACUCAUCUUGCAUAGCUGAAACUUUAUUUGACUUUGACUUUGACUAAUACGUCCCCAUUUCUCACCACCUAGCCACGUUACCACUACCAUUCUCCUUUGUGCCUCGAUGAGUUUGCCCAUGGUAGAUAUCUCAUGUAAAUGACACCAUGUAGGGUUUGUCUUUCUCCUUCUGCCUUAUUUGACUCAGCAUAAAGUUUCCAGAUUCCUCCAUGUUGUCUCAAAUGGAAAGGCUUCCUUCCUUCUUUUGGGUCCAAACAGUAUUCUACUGUGCAAACAUCACAUUUUCUCUCUCCAUUUGUCAGCCUAUGGAUAGCGUUUACGUUAUUUUCAUGUCCUGGCUAUUGUGAAUAAUAAUGCAAUGGACAUGGAAGCGCAGAUACCUCUUUGAGACCCUGAUUUCAGCUUCUUUGCCUACAUUCCCAGAUAUGGGGUUGCAUGAUCAUCCAGCGGUUCUAUUUUUAAUUUUUUGAAUUAUCUCCAUACGGUCUUCCACAGUAGCUGCACCAAUUACAUUCCCACCAACAGUGCAUGAGGGCUCUCCGUUCUCCACAUCCAAUCAGUUUCAGUAAGGUUUAUUUGUCAAGGAAUUUGUCAUUUUUCACCAAAGUAGCUCAAUUUAUCGGCAUACAAAUUUGUUAUAACACUUUCAUACUCUCGAUAUAGGCAGAGUCUACAGUAAUAUCCCAUCUUUCAUUUAUGAUAUUGGCAAUUUUGUUGCUUUUUCUUUCUGGUGAUCAAUUUCACUAAUUAUAUAAAUUUUAUUAGUUUUCCAAAGAA
This is a long non-coding RNA of Canis lupus familiaris (dog), 1176 nucleotides long. RefSeq lists it as uncharacterized. NCBI's taxonomy places the organism in Eukaryota, Metazoa, Chordata, Mammalia, Carnivora, Canidae. The transcript is spliced from 2 exons. The record is from RefSeq and is a predicted model, not a curated record.